ACAAGUACCGUGAGGGAAAGUUGCAAAGCACUUUGAAGAGAGAGUUAAAGAGGACGUGAAACCGGUGAGGUGGAAACAGAUAGAGUCGGCGUAUCUUUCAAGUAUUCAGUUACAUUAUUUUUAUGUUGUGACCUCUGAGCUCCAGAUUGGGACAGAGGGAAUCAGCAUAAUUUUUUGUGGUGCUUUUACUUGAUUGGUGCUUGGGGAUGUUUGAGGCAGAUUUGUUUCCGUCGUUUUGAGGCCAGCUUGCUGGUACCCAAACGGUGUUAGCAUUUUUUGUCUUGGGCAUUUGAGUAUGGCUCACGUGUAUUUAUUGGACAGAUCUGAGUGUAAGUUACGGUCGCAUGCGACACGUGCUUUUCAAUUAGUUCGGUCCAGUUAAUGCUCUCGUACUCGUUUCCCAUGUAAAAGCCGGUCAUCUAUCCGACCCGUCUUGAAACACGGACCAAGGAGUUUAUCGUGUGCGCAAGUUUUUGGGGGUUAAAAACUUAAAAGCGAAAUGAAAGUAAAUGACUCUUUAGAGUCUGAUGUGCGAUCUUGUAAAAAAGUGUAGCAUGGCCCCAUUCUAACUGUUUACAGUAGGGUGGCGGAAGAGCGUACGCGGUGAGACCCGAAAGAUGGUGAACUAUUCCUGAGCAGGACGAAGCCAGAGGAAACUCUGGUGGAAGUCCGAAGCGGUUCUGACGUGCAAAUCGAUCGUCUGACUUGGGUAUAGGGGCGAAAGACUAAUCGAACCAUCUAGUAGCUGGUUCCUUCCGA
Molecule: ribosomal RNA, 759 nt
Filed under: Meloidogyne lopezi
Lineage: Eukaryota; Metazoa; Nematoda; Chromadorea; Rhabditida; Meloidogynidae
Description: eukaryotic LSU rRNA
Rfam family: Eukaryotic large subunit ribosomal RNA
Source: RNAcentral